UGCUUUCUGUGUACAAUAUUUACAAAUAGUUUGUUUUUAACGUUAAUGUGGUGGCAGGUAUUUACAUAAUUUUUAUAUUUAAAAUUAGUCAGUUUACAACAUAAUGAUUAUGUUUUAACGUAUUUUUCAUCGUUAUACUGAGUACUGAAUAGAAAUUCCUCAUUUCAAGUGGAACCAGUGGACUCAAUACUAUAAUGGACCUGUACAUCCAACCAUACAUCAUGUAAUUAUUACAGUGUUCAAACUGUACCACUAAAAACAAAAAAAAAAGUAUUCUAUUGCUUGCCUAAACAAAAUUCCCACGAAUGUAUAUUGCUACAAUUGGCACAUGUAAACAAGAACAUUGCUAGUCUGACUCUGAAAUGAAAAUUGACGUGAUUAGAUGCAUCCUCUUAAUGACUGAAAAGUGAAUGAACACAACUUGUGAUAUCUAGUAGGAAAUGUCUUGUGACAGAAAGGAGCAAAAAAUUUUUAUACUUCACAUUGCAUAUCAGUUUUGAACAUAUUUAUUUGCUUGAGCAUUACAAUCUCUACCCUUGACAGUCUGCAUUGUAAAAAGUUUAAUUUUAUUUUCUUUGAAACAAUAAAUACAGCAAAAGCAACAUAUAAACUGAAUUUAAGAAAACACUAAUUGGUGUAUCAGUAUUUAAAAAAAAAAUUUCUAGUUCUUCACAUUGAAAUAACAUUUAAAAAUUAUUUUAUUUCACUGGAGGGAUGAUAUAGCUUGGCUUUUUUUUUAACACGUUGAAUAAUGCAAGAUAACAUUUUAAUUUUAACAUAUAGGUAUUCAUACAACAAAGUCCAACAAUUUCAAGUGUUUCAUACUGUUAAGAUUUUAAUUACUUAAAAUUUAUGAACGUUAAAUUUAUCGGGAAGUAUGUCAUAACAUCACUCAAAAACAUUAAAUGCUCGUUCAUUUGGCCGCUAACUCUUAUUACAAUCUAGAAUACAAAUAUUAAUUGAAUGUAGGACACUUUUUAGUUAUCACCUACACAUGAAAAACACCAAUACUGAAGGAGAUAUGGAAACUAAACUUAAUUAAGACCUGUUAGUAUUACUGGAUUUCUAUUUUUUUUAAAAAGUGAACACAGAAGCACCUGUCAUACUAUUAAAUAGUAUGACUUACCGUAAGGUUAAAUAGUUGGUUAAUACUGAUGUAGAUCUAAAUUGUAUUUUUUAUUUAUUUUAUUCUGCUAUGCUGUUUCGUGUAACAUAUCCUCACAUGAGUUAAUCUCAUGUCCCUAAACCCUUUGUUUGAAACACUUAAUAAAGGAAAAAAAUAUUUUGUCUUUAGGAAACACACUUAAACAAUAUUUAAGUCAUGACAUUUAAAUGCCAGCAUUUUUACACAUUUAAGGUGAAAACAGAAAAAUUAUUUCAUUUAAAUUUUUUAUCUCCUAGGCAGCUUGUCUGUUAAGGCUGGAAACAUUAGACUAGAUUUUUCUGAGUACAAUCGUUGAAACAAUUUGGUGUUUUUAUAUAUAUGCAAGUUGCAUGUUUAGGUAUAUAUGGAAGGUCACUUAAAGAUGUGCUUAAAAAAACAUCAAAAAAUCUUAAGUAUAUAAAAUGAGAGUUAUUUGAAAGACAAGGUUACUUAACAAGCCCACACACAGUUAUUUGAUUAUUUAAACUUCCACAUUGUCACAAGCAAUUUUUUUUUCUCCACAUUUUAAUGAUGGCUAGAAGAGUAAGUCAAAAUAAGAAAUGUACAAAAAAAGUCAUGGUAGUUGAAAGUAGAAGCAAAAAAUGAUAAAAA
Molecule: long non-coding RNA, 1756 nt
Organism: Bacillus rossius redtenbacheri
Lineage: Eukaryota; Metazoa; Arthropoda; Insecta; Phasmatodea; Bacillidae
Exons: 2
Source: RefSeq, a predicted model, not a curated record